AUGGAGUCUCCGCAGCUUUCAGCUGCAGACUCAGAGCGCAGGAAUGAACUGGAGGAAGGGGGCGGAGCUUCCUCUGUAACAGUGUGUGAUGUGGAUCCAAAAGUACCAUAUGUGAAGAAUGACCCAUGGUCAUGCGCCAGCUCCUCUGACAAUGAGGAGGAGGAUAAUGAAGGCAAGAAGAAGAAGAAAAAGCUGAAGAGGAAAAGAAGCAAGAAAUCCAGCUCCUCUUCCUCAUCAUCCACGUCAUCUUCCUCUUCCUCAUCAGACAGUGACAGCGGUGAGGAAGAAAAGAAGAAAGAGAAAUGGAAAGGAUGGAGUCCCCUGACAGAGAACACGAUUGUGGAAGGUCUGGAGCGACUCACUGAAUUCACUCUAGCUGGAGAAAACAAAACAGACAAGAAGAAGAAGAAACGCAAAGAUUGCCAUGCAGCCACUUCAGACAGUGAGGAUGAAAAGAAGAAGAAGAAGAAGAAAAACUUGAAGAAAUUGAAGAAGCUGCAGAAGAAAGUGAAGAAGCUGAAGAGGAAGAUAAAGAAGAUGGUAAAAAAAACACAAAUUAAUAGAAGAUGAUAUUUGUGUCUAUUCUGUUUGGUUUUUGACAUGUGUGUGUAUUCUGUGUUUGUUAGGACUCCAGCUCGUCUGAAAGUUCAUCCUCAGACAGUGAAGAUGAUCACAAGAAGAAGAAGAAGAAAAAGAAGAUGAAGAAGAAGAAGAAGCAGGUAACUGCACGUUGCAAAGAUGUGUAGCGCAAGCUCUUUGUUUAGUCUCUUUGGUUGACACGCAUGAACGGAGAGCUGCGGGACAGCAGAGAGCUGGUUGGAGGGAGGGUUUACAAGUGUGCAGGAGCUGUUUUGUGUUUAUCUUAUGAUAAAGUUGUUGCACGUCUGCUGGCUCCCACCUCUGAAUGAGCGAGUUUGAGCUACUUGUACAUUAAGAUAUUGUUUAGAAAGAACCAAACACCCGCGAAGAAACUUGACAUAGACGAGCAUACAAACCUGCUGCCAGCGCGUGUUUGGGAAGUGUUGUUGUAGAGCAACACAAACAGCACGCAGAAGUAUGUCAAUGCACGGCUACAUGCAAGGCAGGUGCCGUGGGUCACGCCGAUCACCCAAUGCAAUGUAUAAAUCAGCCUUUAAAGUCUGAGGCUGAUUUAUUCUCCAGGGGCUGGUUUUUCAAAAGUAAUCCACUAGGGUUUUGGAUAAGAGAUUGGAUCAAAUCUUGAAAAUAGGUUUUUAAAAAGAAAAAACGGAUUACAUAAUUGGAUUAGAUCACGUAAUCCAAUCUUGGUUUUGAUCCAGUUCAAACCUUUAGUUUGAGUUUUUCAGACCUUUUUUUGUAGGAUUUGGAUCACUUUUAUAUUAAAAAAAAAUCUGAAUUAAACUGAUCCCAUCAAAAGGGUGGAUUUCAUGCCCAAAAUGUAAUGGAAACUUUUAAAUAUGUAUCAAAUAAUGUUAUAUUUGGAUCAUGCAGUAUCUUACGAGAUAUCCUAUUUAUUCAUACGGUUUUAAUUGUAUUUGUUCAUCUGUCAGGCUACAAUGAUUAGGUCUGCAUUAACGUAUUCAGCCUUUCAAUAUUGACCUCAUUCUUAAAUGCGGAAGUGCGCCUGUUUUCACGAUUGUUUUAGAACUUCCGAUUCAGUCGCCUAUGGGAGAAAUGACUAGAAAUAAUAAAUGGCAGAAAACGGUCAAACUACUGGCUCUACAAACAAAUUAGGGUGUCACGAUCCUCCAAAUCCUCGAUUUGAUUACAUUUUCGAUUCUAAAGGCACGAUUCGAUUCGAUUUUCGAUUAUGAAUAAUUAAUUAAUUAAUGACCAAUUAAUUAUUUGUAGCCUACCGUUUAAACUACCUGACCUGCAUGGUCUUUGUUUUACCCAUAAACAAAUCAUACAGUAAAUGAAUAAAGGCAAGAUACACACAUAAUUACCACCUGUCAAUCACUUUUUCUGCGGGACUCGUGAAUAGGCAGUGAUCUGUGUCAUUAUAAUGGCGUCGGUAAAAAAGACGCACAACCAGCAGGAACCAGCCAACAGUAUCUGAGGUGUUCGCUAAAAUGACUAAGUACAAGUGAGUGAAAGAUUGAAGCAGUCCUCUGACUGCCUGAACCUGCUGUCUCGAGCGCAUGGCUGUGUGUGCGUCUGUGUCUGUGUGGUCACGUGAUCUGCAUUUUCAGAGGUAGAGAGGAAGGAGGGCUGCUCAGAAACGCUACACGCCACUGUGGAUGUCAAAUCGUUGUCGUUCUAAAAUGCCAUUUAAAAACAAAGACAGUGUAAACAGGGCCUGAGUGUGUACUUUUCGCGAGUGGAUUUGCAAAGGGGGCGGGCGGAGGAUCGCGAUGCCGGUGUUGUCUAUCGGACGAACCGUACGUAAUACGUACAUAGCAGAGCUUGCAAAACUGUGUUUUUUUUUGUUGACAACACGAACGUUGUCAACAUAACUCACUGGAAAUCCAAAAUGCUUCCACACCGGCGACUACAUUGAAAGAGGAGAGGGUUUAAGUUCUGUCGACGGGUCUCCUGCUUCUGCAGUUUAACAAGCACUUCAACAAGCCUGUUUUUUUCCCGCUUGGCAAGCCGAGCUGACGUGACAUGGGGGCGUGGCGGCAUCGACGAUUCUAUUUUUUGAUUCGAUAAUCGAAAUUGAGCAUAAAUUUCGAUUGAUUUCGAUUAAAAAUCAAAAUCGUGACACCCCUACAAAUAAAUGUUUGCAUGACUACACCGACCAAGUAGAAUAAUAUAAUAAGAAAAUAGCGGUGGCUCGAAACAAGCAGUUUUUAACGACCAGAAGUCUCGAGCCAAAAAGAUUCAAAUGGCUACGCCCGCUCGUCGGCAAAGAAUAAGAUGAACAGACCUACAGCAAAGUAGAAAGUGUU
This 2870-nucleotide long non-coding RNA is filed under the name Danio rerio (zebrafish). RNAcentral's name for it is "lncRNA (ENSDARG00000117241.1)". Lineage: Eukaryota; Metazoa; Chordata; Actinopteri; Cypriniformes; Danionidae. The record is from RNAcentral.